This 489-nucleotide ribosomal RNA is filed under the name uncultured bacterium. RNAcentral's name for it is "partial 16S ribosomal RNA". It matches the Rfam family "Bacterial small subunit ribosomal RNA", at positions 28 to 507 of the family's 1533-position model. The record is from RNAcentral.
GACGAACGCUGGCGGCGUGCUUAACACAUGCAAGUCGAACGGAAAGGCCCUGCUUUUGUGGGGUGCUCGAGUGGCGAACGGGUGAGUAACACGUGAGUAACCUGCCCUUGACUUUGGGAUAACUUCAGGAAACUGGGGCUAAUACCGGAUAGGAGCUCCUGCUGCAUGGUGGGGGUUGGAAAGUUUCGGCGGUUGGGGAUGGACUCGCGGCUUAUCAGCUUGUUGGUGGGGUAGUGGCUUACCCAGGCUUUGACGGGUAGCCGGACUGAGAGGGUGACCGGCAACACUGGGACUGAGACACGGGCCAGACGACGAAGGGAGGCAGCAGUAGGGAAUCGUCGGCAAGGGACGGAAGUCUGACAGAGAAACGCGGGGUGAGGGAGGAAGGGUGUCGGAUCGUAAAGCUCUGUUGUAAGAGAAGAAGGAGUGUGAGAGUGGAAAGGUCAAACUGGGACGGUAGAUUACAAGAAAGGGAAGGCUAACUACGGG